AGGACACAUACAUCCCAUCCAAGCUUCUCAGAGAGUUUCAAUGAGAAGGAGAACCCAAAGCAAAAGUUUGAAAAACAGGAGUGAAUCGGUGGUGUUACAGUGGAACAGUGAAGAGAGAUGUUUUGAUGGCAGCAACAGAAAACUCCAGCAGCAAGUGCUACUUGUAUGGGGCUGGAGUGAAGAAAGGUCAAAGGAAGACUGAGUGCAACAAGAUUGCCUGCAAGCCUUAGGAAAGGAGACUCCAUGCCAAACAUAUUUAGAUUUUUAAAUCUACUGCUUCACUUGACCUGUCUGAUGACUGAAAUCCUGAAAUUGUACUGAAGUGAGCAAUAACAUUGAU
Molecule: long non-coding RNA, 340 nt
Filed under: Phasianus colchicus (ring-necked pheasant)
Lineage: Eukaryota; Metazoa; Chordata; Aves; Galliformes; Phasianidae
Description: lncRNA (ENSPCLG00000018484.1)
Source: RNAcentral